CCAGCAGCCGCGGUAAUACGGAGGGUGCGAGCGUUAAUCGGAUUUACUGGGCGUAAAGCGUACGUAGGCGGCUUUUUAAGUCGGAUGUGAAAUCCCUGAGCUUAACUUAGGAAUUGCAUUCGAUACUGGGAAGCUAGAGUAUGGGAGAGGAUGGUAGAAUUCCAGGUGUAGCGGUGAAAUGCGUAGAGAUCUGGAGGAAUACCGAUGGCGAAGGCAGCCAUCUGGCCUAAUACUGACGCUGAGGUACGAAAGCAUGGGGAGCAAACACGCAUUAGAUACCCUGGUAGUCCAUGCCGUAAACGAUGUCUACUAGCCGUUGGGGCCUUUGAUGCUUUAGUGGCGCAGCUAACGCGAUAAGUAGACCGCCUGGGGAGUACGGUCGCAAGACUAAAACUCAAAUGAAUUGACGGGGGCCCGCACAAGCGGUGGAAGCAUGUGGUUUAAUUCGAUGCAACGCGAAAACCUUACCUGGUCUCGACAUAGUAAAACUUUCCGAAAUGGAUUGGUGCCUUCGGAACUUACAUACAGGUGCUGCAUGCUGUCUCAGCUCGGUCUGGAAUUGGGUUAAGUCCCGCAACGAGCGCAACCCUUUUCCUUAUUUGCCAGCGGGUAAGCCGGGAACUUUAAGGAUACUGCCAGUGACAAACUGGAGGAAGGCGGGGACGACGUCAAGUCAUCAUGGCCCUUACGACCAGGGCUACACACGUGCUACAAUGGUCGGUACAAAGGGUUGCUACCUAGCGAUAGGAUGCUAAUCUCAAAAAGCCGAUCGUAGUCCGGAUUGGAGUCUGCAACUCGACUCCAUGAAGUCGGAAUCGCUAGUAAUCGCGGAUCAGAAUGCCGCGGUGAAUACGUUCCCGAGCUUUGUACACACCGCCCGUCACACCAUGGGAGUUUGUUGCACCAGAAGUAGGUAGUCUAACCGCAAGGAGGACGCUUACCACGGUGUGGCCGAUGACUGGGGUGAAGUCGUAACAAGGUAGCCGAU
RNAcentral lists this ribosomal RNA (988 nucleotides) under uncultured Pseudomonadota bacterium. RNAcentral's name for it is "bacterial SSU rRNA". It matches the Rfam family "Bacterial small subunit ribosomal RNA", at positions 508 to 1504 of the family's 1533-position model. Lineage: Bacteria; Pseudomonadati; Pseudomonadota. The record is from RNAcentral.